CAAAGUAACUAUGUGUGGGGGAACGGCUUCAGUACCAGGUAGUUAAACAUGCGCCAGGGGACGGGGAUAACCUGGGGAAACUGGGAUUAAACCGGGAUUGGGUCAAGAAUUCUGGAAUGGAUCCCUGGCUUAAAUCUAUAUGGCCCCUGGAUUGGACUGUGGCCGAAUCAGGGCUGUUGGUGAGGUAAUGGCCCGCCAAACCUAUAACCGGUACGGGCUCUAAGAGGAGAAGCCCGGAGAUGGGCACUGAGACAAGGGCCCAGGCCCUAUGGGGCGCAGCAGGCGCGAAAACUCUGCAAUUGGGCGAAAGCCUGACAGGGUUACUCUGAGUGAUUUCCGCUAAGGAGAUCUUUUGGCAGCUCUAAAAAUGGUGCAGAAUAAGGGGUGGGCAAGUCUGGUGUCAGCCGCCGCGGUAAUACCAGCACCCCGAGUGGUCGGGACGAUUAUUGGGCCUAAAGCAUCCGUAGCCGGUUGUGCAAGUCCUCCGUUAAAUCCAGCCGCUCAACGGAUGGGCUGCGGAGGAUACUACAGAACUAGGAGGCGGGAGAGGCAAGCGGUACUUAGUGGGUAGGGGUAAAAUCCUUUGAUCCAUUGAAGA
RNAcentral lists this ribosomal RNA (598 nucleotides) under uncultured archaeon. Its description in RNAcentral is "bacterial SSU rRNA". It matches the Rfam family "Archaeal small subunit ribosomal RNA", at positions 62 to 656 of the family's 1478-position model. The record is from RNAcentral.